CCUAACGCGUUCGGAUUAAGUACACAAUAAUUUCUCUUGCCCCAGAGGGCCUUAGACGACAGACGCAGAGGUAUUCUCGCUAAUUUCCGAAGCAAUUCCGAUGGGGAGGUUUCAGUGGUUGGAGGCUGCUCUGCCUUUGGGAAUCAUCGCCGGUUUGCUCUGCGUGAUGGGAAACUCGCAGUAUCAGAUCCACAAAGCUUAUUAUGGCCGACCAAAGCACAUUGGAAAUGAUGUGUGGGAUGUAGCCAUGGAGAGGAGGGACAAGAAGCUUUUGGAGGAGGCUGCUGCGGCGGGGAAUUAGCAAUUUAUUGGUUUUCAACUAUUUUAUAUCUGGUUUAGCAGCCAAAUCCUCAGCUGCUGCAAGCUUAUGAAAUAGAUGGUCAGUUUCUUGCACUCAUUAAACUUGUACAAUGCCCAUGCCCUCUUGGCCUCUUGCCUAUGUUCAAUCCAUUUCAGGUGACCUCCUGGAGACAAUGUCAGACACCUACUGUUGCAAAUGACGAAUUUUUAGCUCCUGUUAGUUAAGUAAUCUUUUCACACUGAUGUCAAGCACUACUGAAUGUUUUUAUAUCGUUUGAAAUCAUAAAUAAUCAUCAAAAUUUCGAAUUUCAUCCCAGAACCAAAGAAGCAUACCCUGUUCUUGAUGAUUUCUGUAUCUCAAUGCUAAAAAAAGAAUUUACAGGCCUCAUCUGUCAACAAUCAUCGUUACAUUCCUAUUUAUGAUCCUUAAGUAACUGAAUUAAUUAAAGCUUGUUAGUCAA
RNA transcript from Dendrobium catenatum, 761 nucleotides. It is a transcript of the gene named NADH dehydrogenase [ubiquinone] 1 alpha subcomplex subunit 1, with no coding region annotated. The record is from RefSeq and is a predicted model, not a curated record. NCBI's taxonomy places the organism in Eukaryota, Viridiplantae, Streptophyta, Magnoliopsida, Asparagales, Orchidaceae. The transcript is spliced from 4 exons.